This is a non-coding RNA of Stachybotrys chartarum IBT 40288, 92 nucleotides long. The record is from Rfam. NCBI's taxonomy places the organism in Eukaryota, Fungi, Ascomycota, Sordariomycetes, Hypocreales, Stachybotryaceae.
CUCCCUGUGGUGUAGUGGCUAUCACGUCGGGCUGUAAUUAGUCCCCAUCAAGUUUAACCUGAAGGUCACCGGUUCAAUUCCGGUCGGGGAGA